RNAcentral lists this long non-coding RNA (1355 nucleotides) under Citrus sinensis (sweet orange). Its description in RNAcentral is "long non-coding RNA (CSIN_LNC001506)". Lineage: Eukaryota; Viridiplantae; Streptophyta; Magnoliopsida; Sapindales; Rutaceae. The record is from RNAcentral.
AAGCCCAAGUGGCCAGAGUCACUCCUUCACAAAUGUGAGGGAAGUGGUUCGAGCCUCCGCAGACGUAUUAUAAGGGUUUAAUUUAAAUUUCCUUCCUUGGAGUCCCAGAGCUUGAGUGAAGGCAGUCUUUCUCCCAGGAUGAGAGUUGACGUCCCUCGAAUAUUUGAGAGGGUUAAAAAUCUGAGCGUGCCAUAUCAGAAUUGAUGUAAACGGGUCUCAAUAUAUAUAUGAUUGUAAAUGUCAUCAUGAGCAAUAGUUUUCAUUCAAAAAAAAAAAAAAAAAAGAAUCCCUCCAAUAAAAUAUUAGUAAGAUUUGUUUUUUUUUUUUUGAAUUUUAGGUUAUAUCAUACAAAAUUAUUAUAUUACCCAUGAAAAGCUAGAUACAACAGCUGUGAAAGAAAUGUUAAGAGUUAUUUUUUGUAUAAUUAUUGAAAAUACAUGUACUAACUAGAUAAUUAGCUCAAAUUAUAAAAAAACGAAUGAAUAUUUAUCUUAAAUUAACAAUACAAUUUUCGACUUUAACCUAUUGCUUUCUUAUAAUUUUCAUAACAUCUCGUUACCUUAUAAUGUAAAAAAAUUCACAACAAAACUCAUCUUAAUCACAAAAUGGUCACUUUUUUUCUUAUUUUGACAUUAGAAAUAUAAUAGGAUAUUAUAAAAAUUACAAGGAGCUAAAGGAUAAAAACUAGAAGUUGUAGGACAGAAAGUGUCAAAUCUCCCAAUGGACAACGUUUACAUAGCAUCGAAGAUUGAUAAUCGGCAUAAUAAUCAUUAAUCACUCAACAAUUUAGCUAAAUAAAAAUACCUUAUAAUGACCCCAUAAUAUUUCCCUCCAUCGGCCGUACGUGGAGGAGAGUAUUAUGAGUGCUAGCCUAGACACAACAUUCUUCUAGGAGCGAGCACAUUUCCCUUUGGUUCUAAUUGACUUCGAGUGAAACCUAAAUGCACGUUAAUAAUUUAGACUGCAGAUUACUAGGAAAGCAUGGUGGGUCGCUUUUCCAAUGACAUUGGCUUUCUAAAAUCUAAAUUAAUUGAUUGUAAACUUAGUAAUAAGUUUUCUAGAAUCAGAAUCCCUCUUAUAAACCACUUGGGCUUAAGCCCAAGUGGCCAGAGUCACUCCUUCACAAAUGUGAGGGAAGUGGUUCGAGCCUCCGCAGACGUAUUAUAAGGGUUUAAUUUAAAUUUCCUUCCUUGGAGUCCCAGAGCUUGAGUGAAGGCAGUCUUUCUCCCAGGAUGAGAGUUGACGUCCCUCGAAUAUUUGAGAGGGUUAAAAAUCUGAGCGUGCCAUAUCAGAAUUGAUGUAAACGGGUCUCAAUAUAUAUAUGAUUGUAAAUGUCAUCAUGAGCAAUAGUUUUC